CGAUCUCAAAUCAAGUAAGACUACCCGCUGAACU
This 34-nucleotide ribosomal RNA is filed under the name uncultured Mortierella. RNAcentral's name for it is "partial 28S ribosomal RNA". Lineage: Eukaryota; Fungi; Mortierellomycota; Mortierellomycetes; Mortierellales; Mortierellaceae. The record is from RNAcentral.